GGAGUACGGCGUCAAUCGCCAGAAUUCCAAAGCUAACUGCGGCCUGCUUUUCUACCAAAUCCAU
RNAcentral lists this small RNA (64 nucleotides) under Archaeoglobus fulgidus. Lineage: Archaea; Methanobacteriati; Methanobacteriota; Archaeoglobi; Archaeoglobales; Archaeoglobaceae. The record is from RNAcentral.